RNAcentral lists this ribosomal RNA (492 nucleotides) under uncultured bacterium. RNAcentral's name for it is "partial 16S ribosomal RNA". It matches the Rfam family "Bacterial small subunit ribosomal RNA", at positions 29 to 507 of the family's 1533-position model. The record is from RNAcentral.
AGUGAACGCUGGCGGUAGGCCUAACACAUGCAAGUCGAACGGCAGCACAGUAAGAGCUUGCUCUUACGGGUGGCGAGUGGCGGACGGGUGAGGAAUACAUCGGAAUCUACUUUUUCGUGGGGGAUAACGUAGGGAAACUUACGCUAAUACCGCAUACGCCCUACGGGUGAAAGCAGGGGAUCUUCGGACCUUGCGCGUUUGAAUGAGCCGAUGUCGGAUUAGCUAGUUGGCGGGGUAAAGGCCCACAAAGGCGACGAUCCGUAGCUGGUCUGAGAGGAUGAUCAGCCACACUGGAACUGAGACACGGUCCAGACUCCUACGGGAGGCAGCAGUGGGGAAUAUUGGACAAUGGGCGCAAGCCUGAUCCAGCCAUACCGCGUGGGUGAAGAAGGCCUUCGGGUUGUAAAGCCCUUUUGUUGGGAAAGAAAAGCAGCAGGUUAAUACCCCGCUGUUCUGACGGUGCCCAAAGAAUAAGCACCGGCUAACUUCGUG